GCAAAUGCUAAUCUGCCAUCAAUCUGUUUACGGAAUAAGGGCCGUUUUCGACCGCCGAAACCGCACACGAAGCGGCAAACAUGCAGGAUCUGUAAUUGAGAGCUUAUCUCGACUGGCAGACGAAAAAUUCUGGUAUAAAUAAUGAGCAGGAGAAACUUGAGGCUACAUUUUUCCAAACCCACGGCCCCAGAGGUAACCCAACCCGAAAACAUGGCUGCAGCUCUCCGUGUGAUGCUCUUGCUCUGCUUGGCUCUUGCACUUGUCUUGGCGCAAAAUCAGGUGGCCGAGGACGACCUGGCUCUCCACACCAAGGCUGAGAGCAUAAAACAACAGGUCGAUCUGAUUAGAAAUUUGCCGAAGCAGCAGGCGUCUGGUUUUUUGGCCGCGGUGGACCAAUUAUUAGCCAGUUUGAUAGCGGCAAUCCCUUUGCCGCCUACGACCACGACUUCUUCCACAACCACUACCACUACCACCACUCGUGCUCCCUAAAAGAGAGGAAUAACGUUUUCACUGCCGCACCUAAUUGCCCUCCGCGCGCGCGCGUGUGUGUGUAUAUAUAUUUGUAUAGAAGCUCGCUAAUUACGCUCGCGCGUUCAUUUGCAUACACCACGCUGCAUAGAGCAGAAUUCCAGCCUCGUUUUAUCAGUCGGCUAACUUCUUUGUAUCACGUUUGCAAUCUUAACUUGGAAUAAAUUUGCGCACCGAAAAGAG
Cloeon dipterum is the source of this 711-nucleotide long non-coding RNA. RefSeq lists it as uncharacterized. NCBI's taxonomy places the organism in Eukaryota, Metazoa, Arthropoda, Insecta, Ephemeroptera, Baetidae. The transcript has 3 exons. The record is from RefSeq and is a predicted model, not a curated record.